This 753-nucleotide ribosomal RNA is filed under the name uncultured bacterium. RNAcentral's name for it is "bacterial SSU rRNA". It matches the Rfam family "Bacterial small subunit ribosomal RNA", at positions 62 to 779 of the family's 1533-position model. The record is from RNAcentral.
UCGAACGAGUUCUCGUUGAUGAUCGGUGCUUGCACCGAGAUUCAACAUCCUUCGAGUGGCGGACGGGUGAGUAACACGUGGGUAACCUGCCCUUAAGUGGGGGAUAACAUUUGGAAACAGAUGCUAAUACCGCAUAGAUCCAAGAACCGCAUGGUUCUUGGCUGAAAGAUGGCGUAAGCUAUCGCUUUUGGAUGGACCCGCGGCGUAUUAGCUAGUUGGUGAGGUAAUGGCUCACCAAGGCGAUGAUACGUAGCCGAACUGAGAGGUUGAUCGGCCACAUUGGGACUGAGACACGGCCCAAACUCCUACGGGAGGCAGCAGUAGGGAAUCUUCCACAAUGGACGCAAGUCUGAUGGAGCAACGCCGCGUGAGUGAAGAAGGCUUUCGGGUCGUAAAACUCUGUUGUUGGAGAAGAAUGGUCGGCAGAGUAACUGUUGCCGGCGUGACGGUAUCCAACCAGAAAGCCACGGCUAACUACGUGCCAGCAGCCGCGGUAAUACGUAGGUGGCAAGCGUUAUCCGGAUUUAUUGGGCGUAAAGCGAGCGCAGGCGGUUUUUUAAGUCUGAUGUGAAAGCCCUCGGCUUAACCGAGGAAGCGCAUCGGAAACUGGGAAACUUGAGUGCAGAAGAGGACAGUGGAACUCCAUGUGUAGCGGUGAAAUGCGUAGAUAUAUGGAAGAACACCAGUGGCGAAGGCGGCUGUCUGGUCUGUAACUGACGCUGAUGCUCGAAAGCAUGGGUAGCGAACAGGAUU